CAUUGCCCUCUUCACCUUUCCAAUCACACUCCACCUAUACAUCCAUCCUUAGUUACAUUUCUUUACUUUUUUAUUCUUAUUCUCUCAACUUCCUUAACAAUAUUCCUCUCUCUCUCUCUCUCUCUCUCUCUCUCACACACACACACACCUCUCUCUCUCUCUCUCUCUCUCUCUCUCUCUCUCUCUCUCUAUAUAUAUAUAUGUGUGUGUGUGUGUGUGUGUGUGUGUGUGUGUGUGUGUGUUUGUUUAAUGUGUGUAAUUUGAAAACAAAAGUUUGUAUACGUAGAGGAAUA
RNAcentral lists this long non-coding RNA (293 nucleotides) under Ananas comosus (pineapple). Its description in RNAcentral is "long non-coding RNA (ACOM_LNC025199)". The record is from RNAcentral. Lineage: Eukaryota; Viridiplantae; Streptophyta; Magnoliopsida; Poales; Bromeliaceae.